This 73-nucleotide transfer RNA is filed under the name Candidatus Woesebacteria bacterium. RNAcentral's name for it is "tRNA-Gly". It matches the Rfam family "tRNA". From Rfam's summary of the family: Transfer RNA (tRNA) molecules are approximately 80 nucleotides in length. The record is from RNAcentral. Lineage: Bacteria; Candidatus Woeseibacteriota.
GCGGUGGUAGUUCAGUUGGUAGAAUGUCUCCUUCCCAAGGAGAAGGUCGCGAGUUCGAAUCUCGUCCACCGCU